RNAcentral lists this ribosomal RNA (1479 nucleotides) under Didogobius kochi. RNAcentral's name for it is "partial 16S ribosomal RNA". It matches the Rfam family "Bacterial large subunit ribosomal RNA", at positions 406 to 2574 of the family's 2925-position model. The record is from RNAcentral. Lineage: Eukaryota; Metazoa; Chordata; Actinopteri; Gobiiformes; Gobiidae.
GCCCAAUUAGCUAGCCCACCCUCAGAAACCAACAAUCACCACUAAUAACCCCAAGGCUACUAGUUAAAAUACAACAAAACAUUUUUCCACCCUAGUAUGAGAGACAGAAAAGGAUGAAGGCGCUAUACAGAAAGUACCGCAAGGGAACGCUGAAAGAGAGCUGAAAAAGACCAGUAAAGGAGAGAAAAGCAGGGAUCAGUCCCCGUACCUUUUGCAUAAUGACUUAGCUAGAACUCGCCAAGCAAAGAGACCUUUAGUUUGUGCCCCCGAAACUGAUGCGAGCUACUCCAAGACAGCCUAAUAAGGGCGAACCCACCUCUGUGGCAAAAGAGGGGAAGAGCUUUGAGUAGCGGUGACAAACCUAUCGAGCACAGUUAUAGCUGGUUGCCUGAGAAACGAAUAGGAGUUCGACCUUUUAAGUCCUUCAACCCACAAGAGCAAGUCCGCCCACUUCAGAACAAAAGGAAUUAAAAGAGCUAUUCAAGGGAGGAACAGCUCUCUUGAAAAAAGACACAACUUUAACGCAGGCUAAAGAUCAUACGACCCCAAAGACUAGUGCCAAGGUGGGCCUAAAAGCAGCCACCCCCUUUAAAAAGCGUUAAAGCUUAAGCACGACCUUACCACAAUACCGAUGAAAACUCUAAAGCCGCACUACCCAUCAGGCCCUCCCCUGCAAACAUGGGAGAGACACUGCUAACAUGAGUAAUAAGAGGGCUAUAGCCCCUCUCCCUGCAGACGUGUACAUCAGAACGAACCCCCACUGAAAAUUAACGCCCCUGAAUAGACGGUACUGGGUGAAAAACGAAAAACUAGAAACUCCCCCAUCCACUAAAGCGUUACCCCAACACAGGACUGCUCGAAGGAAAGACAAAAGGAGGAAGAAGGAACUCGGCAAACACUUUUAGCCUCGCCUGUUUACCAAAAACAUCGCCUCUUGCCCCAAAAGUAUAAGAGGUCCCGCCUGCCCUGUGACAAAAGUUCAACGGCCGCGGUAUUUUGACCGUGCGAAGGUAGCGUAAUCACUUGUCUUUUAAAUGAAGACCUGUAUGAAAGGCAUAACGAGGGCUAAACUGUCUCCUCCCUCCAGUCAAUGAAAUUGAUCUGCCCGUGCAGAAGCGGGCAUACACACAUAAGACGAGAAGACCCUAUGAAGCUUCAGACAUAAAAUGCAGACCACGUUAAUAACCCUACACCACGGGACCAAACCUAAGCGGACCCUGCCCUUUGUCUUUGGUUGGGGCGACCACGGGGGAACACCAAGCCCCCGAGAGGAACGGGGCACCCCACCCCCUCGAAGCAAGGCCUGCAGGCCAAACCACCAGAAAUUCUGACCCCUAGAUCCGGCGCAAGCCGAUCAGCGGACCAAGUUACUCUAGGGAUAACAGCGCAAUCCCCUUCUAGAGCCCACAUCGACAAGGGGGUUUACGACCUCGAUGUUGGAUCGGGGCAUCCUAAUGGUGCAGCCGCUAUUAAGGGUUC